Molecule: ribosomal RNA, 497 nt
Filed under: uncultured bacterium
Lineage: Bacteria
Description: partial 16S ribosomal RNA
Rfam family: Bacterial small subunit ribosomal RNA
Source: RNAcentral
GACGAACGCUGGCGGCGUGCCUAAUACAUGCAAGUUGAGCGCUGAAGGUUGGUACUUGUACCGACUGGAUGAGCAGCGAACGGGUGAGUAACGCGUGGGGAAUCUGCCUUUGAGCGGGGGACAACAUUUGGAAACGAAUGCUAAUACCGCAUAAAAACUUUAAACACAAGUUUUAAGUUUGAAAGAUGCAAUUGCAUCACUCAAAGAUGAUCCCGCGUUGUAUUAGCUAGUUGGUGAGGUAAAGGCUCACCAAGGCGAUGAUACAUAGCCGACCUGAGAGGGUGAUCGGCCACAUUGGGACUGAGACACGGCCCAAACUCCUACGGGAGGCAGCAGUAGGGAAUCUUCGGCAAUGGACGAAAGUCUGACCGAGCAACGCCGCGGGAGGGAAGAAGGUUUUCGGAUCGUAAAACUCUGUUGGUAGAGAAGAACGUUGGUGAGAGUGGAAAGCUCAUCAAGUGACGGUAACUACCCAGAAAGGGACGGCUAACUACGUG